Molecule: ribosomal RNA, 497 nt
Filed under: uncultured Sphingobacteriales bacterium
Lineage: Bacteria; Pseudomonadati; Bacteroidota; Sphingobacteriia; Sphingobacteriales
Description: bacterial SSU rRNA
Rfam family: Bacterial small subunit ribosomal RNA
Source: RNAcentral
UUGCCAGCCCGCUCAGAACUCAAAGGAAUUGACGGGGCCCGCACAAGCGGUGGAGCAUGUGGUUUAAUUCGAUGAUACGCGAGGAACCUUACCUGGGCUCAAAUGUAUGUUGACGUAUUCUGAAAGGGAUACUUCUUCGGACAAUAUACAAGGUGCUGCAUGGUUGUCGUCAGCUCGUGCCGUGAGGUGUCGGGUUAAGUCCCAUAACGAGCGCAACCCCUAUCAUUAGUUGCCAUCAGGUCAAGCUGGGGACUCUAAUGAAACUGCCUACGCAAGUAGUGAGGAAGGUGGGGAUGACGUCAAAUCAGCACGGCCCUUACGUCCAGGGCUACACACGUGCUACAAUGGCCGGUACAAAGGGCAGCGACACUGCGAGGUGAAGCCAAUCCCGUAAAAUCGGUCUCAGUCCGGAUUGGAGUCUGCAACUCGACUCCAUGAAGUUGGAAUCGCUAGUAAUCGUGGAUCAGCAUGCCACGGUGAAUACGUUCCCGGGCCUU